GUGGGGAAUUUUGGACAAUGGGCGCAAGCCUGAUCCAGCAAUGCCGCGUGUGUGAAGAAGGCCUUCGGGUUGUAAAGCACUUUUGUCCGGGAAGAAAUCUCCUGAGUUAAUACCCCGGGGGGAUGACGGUACCGGAAGAAUAAGCACCGGCUAACUACGUGCCAGCAGCCGCGGUAAUACGUAGGGUGCGAGCGUUAAUCGGAAUUACUGGGCGUAAAGCGUGCGCAGGCGGCUAUGCAAGACAGGUGUGAAAUCCCCGGGCUCAACCUGGGAACUGCACUUGUGACUGCAUGGCUAGAGUGCGUCAGAGGGAGGUGGAAUUCCGCGUGUAGCAGUGAAAUGCGUAGAGAUGCGGAGGAACACCGAUGGCGAAGGCAGCCUCCUGGGAUGACACUGACGCUCAUGCACGAAAGCGUGGGGAGCAAACAGG
This 430-nucleotide ribosomal RNA is filed under the name uncultured bacterium. RNAcentral's name for it is "bacterial SSU rRNA". It matches the Rfam family "Bacterial small subunit ribosomal RNA", at positions 354 to 776 of the family's 1533-position model. The record is from RNAcentral.